RNAcentral lists this ribosomal RNA (497 nucleotides) under uncultured bacterium. RNAcentral's name for it is "partial 16S ribosomal RNA". It matches the Rfam family "Bacterial small subunit ribosomal RNA", at positions 28 to 507 of the family's 1533-position model. The record is from RNAcentral.
GACGAACGCUGGCGGCGUGCCUAAUACAUGCAAGUUGAGCGCUGAAGGUUGGUACUUGUACCAACUGGAUGAGCAGCGAACGGGUGAGUAACGCGUGGGGAAUCUGCCUUUGAGCGGGGGACAACAUUUGGAAACGAAUGCUAAUACCGCAUAAAAACUUUAAACACAAUUUUUAAGUUUGAAAGAUGCAAUUGCAUCACUCAAAGAUGAUCCCGCGUUGUAUUAGCUAGUUGGUGAGGUAAAGGCUCACCAAGGCGAUGAUACAUAGCCGACCUGAGAGGGUGAUCGGCCACAUUGGGACUGAGACACGGCCCAAACUCCUACGGGAGGCAGCAGUAGGGAAGCUUCGGCAAGAGACGAAAGUCUGACCGAGCAACGCCGCGUGAGUGAAGAAGGUUUUCGGAUCGUAAAACUCUGUUGGUAGAGAAGAACGUUGGUGAGAGUGGAAAGCUCAUCAAGUGACGGUAACUACCCAGAAAGGGACGGCUAACUACGUG